Molecule: ribosomal RNA, 113 nt
Filed under: uncultured bacterium
Lineage: Bacteria
Description: partial 16S ribosomal RNA
Rfam family: Bacterial small subunit ribosomal RNA
Source: RNAcentral
CCCGGGCCUUGUACACACCGCCCGUCACACCACGAAAGUUGGCAAUACCCGAACGCCGGUGGGCUAACCCGCAAGGAGGCCAGCCGUCGAAGGUAGGGUUGAUGAUUGGGUCG